CAAUAUCAUCCGAGAGGCAAAGAAAACCUUUCUCUCUUAAUCUCAUCUCACUUUUCCCCAUGUCUCUAAAUCAUAUCUUCAUCUCUCAAUUUUUUUUCCUUUCAAUCUUCAUGUCUUAAAGCUUUGCGAUGGGUAAUCUUGACGGUUUCUUGGUAGGUGUUGAAAGUAUCAAGAAUAGUAGAGAAGAUAAUGGGUUUAAUCAUGGUUAUCGAGAUCGCGAUCUACAUCUCAAGAUCUUGCGAUUCAUCCUACCUCCACCGAUCUGGAGUGGUUUGAAGAUUAUAGAUCAUGGCAGAUUAAGCGGCGCACCGUGGAAAAGCGGAAACUCGUGGAAUCAUCGCAUUUUUCCAAACUAGAGAAGAGGUUUGUCCCAGUUUCAGUAGGCGUUGACCCGAUUGGACCCGGUUUUGAUCUGCAGUGUCUGUUUCGUUUUCGACUGAUUCGGUCAUAAUUCGACGUGUUUCACCCUAGAAGCUAGAUUAUCCAUCCACAUAAAUGAAAUCAAAAUUCAACACAAAGAUUCAAGUAGUAAAGGGUUGGUAGCAAUAUAUACAGAUGCUAUACAUUUUGGGAUUAUUCAUUACUUCUGACUUCAAAGAAUAAUUAACCUAAAAUUGAAGUCCUCUUUUCCUUGCAAGAAGAUCUCCCAACGUUGGCAACAAAUCUUAACUUUGACGGAAAGAUUCCAGCAGAAAAGGUAAACAAUAUAGUUUAAUUUCUUGAUUAUUUACAACAAUUUAUUGUUAUCAAACAUGUUUUAGGGUUUAUAUUAUCAUUUUACAUUAUGUAUCUAUAUCUCUUCGAUAAA
Molecule: long non-coding RNA, 808 nt
Organism: Medicago truncatula (barrel medic)
Lineage: Eukaryota; Viridiplantae; Streptophyta; Magnoliopsida; Fabales; Fabaceae
Exons: 3
Source: RefSeq, a predicted model, not a curated record